This 223-nucleotide ribosomal RNA is filed under the name uncultured bacterium. RNAcentral's name for it is "partial 16S ribosomal RNA". It matches the Rfam family "Bacterial small subunit ribosomal RNA", at positions 15 to 217 of the family's 1533-position model. The record is from RNAcentral.
GAUCAUGGCUCAGGACGAACGCUGGCGGCGCGCCUAACACAUGCAAGUCGAACGGAGCUACUUUGAUAGAUCUCUUCGGAGUGACAUUGAUUUAGCUUAGUGGCGAACGGGUGAGUAACACGUGAGGAACCUGCCUUUCAGAGGGGGACAACAGUUGGAAACGACUGCUAAUACCGCAUAAGACCACGAUACGGCAUCGUAUUGAGGUCAAAGGAGCAAUCCG